RNAcentral lists this transfer RNA (66 nucleotides) under Acmaeodera sp. NCS-2009. RNAcentral describes it as "tRNA-Trp". The record is from RNAcentral. Lineage: Eukaryota; Metazoa; Arthropoda; Insecta; Coleoptera; Buprestidae.
AAGGAUUUAAGUUAAACAAACUAGCAGCCUUCAAAGCUGCCAAUAAAGAUCUCUCUUUAAGCCUUA